This 860-nucleotide ribosomal RNA is filed under the name uncultured bacterium. RNAcentral describes it as "bacterial SSU rRNA". It matches the Rfam family "Bacterial small subunit ribosomal RNA", at positions 28 to 896 of the family's 1533-position model. The record is from RNAcentral.
GAUGAACGCUAGCGGCAGGCUUAACACAUGCAAGUCGAGGGGUAUAGUAGCAAUACUAGAGACCGGCGCACGGGUGCGUAACGCGUAUGCAAUCUACCUUUCACAGAGGGAUAGCCCAGAGAAAUUUGGAUUAAUACCUCAUAGUAUAAUACCUUGGCAUCAAGGAAUUAUUAAAGUCACAACGGUGAAAGAUGAGCAUGCGUCCCAUUAGCUAGUUGGUAUGGUAACGGCAUACCAAGGCGACGAUGGGUAGGGGUCCUGAGAGGGAGAUCCCCCACACUGGUACUGAGACACGGACCAGACUCCUACGGGAGGCAGCAGUGAGGAAUAUUGGACAAUGGGCGCAAGCCUGAUCCAGCCAUGCCGCGUGCAGGAUGACGGUCCUAUGGAUUGUAAACUGCUUUUGCACAGGAAGAAACAACAUUACGUGUAAUGUCUUGACGGUACUGUGAGAAUAAGGAUCGGCUAACUCCGUGCCAGCAGCCGCGGUAAUACGGAGGAUCCAAGCGUUAUCCGGAAUCAUUGGGUUUAAAGGGUCCGUAGGCGGUCUUAUAAGUCAGUGGUGAAAUCUCCCCGCUCAACGGGGAAACGGCCAUUGAUACUGUAAGACUUGAAUUAUUAGGAAGUAACUAGAAUAUGUAGUGUAGCGGUGAAAUGCUUAGAGAUUACAUGGAAUACCAAUUGCGAAGGCAGGUUACUACUAAUGGAUUGACGCUGAUGGACGAAAGCGUGGGUAGCGAACAGGAUUAGAUACCCUGGUAGUCCACGCCGUAAACGAUGGAUACUAGCUGUUGGGUGCAAACUCAGUGGCUAAGCGAAAGUGAUAAGUAUCCCACCUGGGGAGUACGUUCGCAAGAAUG